RNAcentral lists this ribosomal RNA (27 nucleotides) under Erysiphe adunca. RNAcentral's name for it is "partial 28S rRNA". RNAcentral also lists the same sequence under 2 other names. Lineage: Eukaryota; Fungi; Ascomycota; Leotiomycetes; Helotiales; Erysiphaceae. The record is from RNAcentral.
UUGACCUCGAAUCAGGUAGGGAUACCC